GCUAGAAGAGAGCUUAGUAACAUGUUGGUGUUGCAUGAGUAUCCACUGUCUAUAGUGGACCAUGCUGGUUUUAGGAAGUUUGUUCAUGCACUUCAGCCACUAUUCAAGCUACAUACAAGAAAUACUAUUAGGCAAGAUAUUGAGGAAGAUUAUAACCAAGAAAGAAAGAAGACAAUUGAUUACAUGACUAUGAACCAAUCUAGGGUUGCUAUCACUACAGAUAUGUGGACUGCGGACCACCAAAAGAAGGGAUAUAUGGCUAUUACAGCUCAUUUCACUGAUGAAUCUUGGAAGCUUCGGAAUGUUAUCAUGAGGUUUGUAUAUGUUCCAGCUCCUCAUACAGCUGAAGUGAUAUGUGAAGUGCUCUAUGAUUCCCUGCUU
Molecule: ribosomal RNA, 381 nt
Filed under: Triticum aestivum (bread wheat)
Lineage: Eukaryota; Viridiplantae; Streptophyta; Magnoliopsida; Poales; Poaceae
Description: partial small subunit ribosomal RNA
Source: RNAcentral